GACGAGCCACACGAACGUUAUUCGGAAUUACUGGGCUUAAAGGGUGCGUAGGCGGUGCGGAAAGUUGGGUGUGAAAUCCCUCGGCUCAACCGAGGAACUGCGCCCAAAACUACCGUACUUGAGGAAGAUAGAGGUGAGCGGAACUUACGGUGGAGCGGUGAAAUGCGUUGAUAUCGUUUGGAACGCCAAUGGUGAAAACAGCUAGCUGGGGAUGUGCCGACGCUGAGACACGAAAGCCAGGGGAGCGAACGGG
This 253-nucleotide ribosomal RNA is filed under the name uncultured bacterium. Its description in RNAcentral is "partial 16S ribosomal RNA". It matches the Rfam family "Bacterial small subunit ribosomal RNA", at positions 524 to 776 of the family's 1533-position model. The record is from RNAcentral.